Molecule: ribosomal RNA, 497 nt
Filed under: uncultured bacterium
Lineage: Bacteria
Description: partial 16S ribosomal RNA
Rfam family: Bacterial small subunit ribosomal RNA
Source: RNAcentral
GAUGAACGCUGGCGGCGUGCCUAAUACAUGCAAGUCGAGCGAACAGACGAGGAGCUUGCUCCUCUGACGUUAGCGGCGGACGGGUGAGUAACACGUGGAUAACCUACCUAUAAGACUGGGAUAACUUCGGGAAACCGGAGCUAAUACCGGAUAAUAUAUUGAACCGCAUGGUUCAAUAGUGAAAGACGGUUUUGCUGUCACUUAUAGAUGGAUCCGCGCCGCAUUAGCUAGUUGGUAAGGUAACGGCUUACCAAGGCAACGAUGCGUAGCCGACCUGAGAGGGUGAUUGGCCACACUGGAAUUGAGACACGGUCCAGACUCCUACGGGAGGCAGCAGUAGGGAAUCUUCCGCAAUGGGCGAAAGCCUGACGGAGCAACGCCGCGUGAGUGAUGAAGGUCUUCGGAUCGUAAAACUCUGUUAUUAGGGAAGAACAAAUGUGUAAGUAACUAUGCACGUCUUGACGGUACCUAAUCAGAAAGCCACGGCUAACUACGUG